RNAcentral lists this ribosomal RNA (118 nucleotides) under Candidatus Dojkabacteria bacterium. The record is from RNAcentral.
UCUGGUGAUCGUAUCGUCUCGGAAACACCUGAAACCAUUCCGAACUCAGAAGUGAAACGAGAUAGAGCCGAAGAUACUUCCUCUUUUGAUGAGGUGGGAAAAUAGGUAAUUGCCAGAU